Zopfochytrium polystomum is the source of this 72-nucleotide non-coding RNA. The record is from the annotation of a GenBank genome assembly. NCBI's taxonomy places the organism in Eukaryota, Fungi, Chytridiomycota, Chytridiomycetes, Chytridiales, Chytridiaceae.
GGCUGUAUAGUGUAGGGGUUAUCACAUCAGAUUUUGAUUCUGGGAACCCCGGUUCUUUUCCACAUUCAAUUA